Molecule: transfer RNA, 83 nt
Organism: Escovopsis weberi
Lineage: Eukaryota; Fungi; Ascomycota; Sordariomycetes; Hypocreales; Hypocreaceae
Rfam family: tRNA
About the family: Transfer RNA (tRNA) molecules are approximately 80 nucleotides in length. Their secondary structure includes four short double-helical elements and three loops (D, anti-codon, and T loops). Further hydrogen bonds mediate the characteristic L-shaped molecular structure. tRNAs have two regions of fundamental functional importance: the anti-codon, which is responsible for specific mRNA codon recognition, and the 3' end, to which the tRNAs corresponding amino acid is attached (by aminoacyl-tRNA synthetases). tRNAs cope with the degeneracy of the genetic code in two manners: having more than one tRNA (with a specific anti-codon) for a particular amino acid; and 'wobble' base-pairing, i.e. permitting non-standard base-pairing at the 3rd anti-codon position.
Source: Rfam
GCCGUAAUCGUCUAGUGGUUAGGACAUCAGUUUGUGGACCUACAAAGCCACUGGAAACCAAGGUUCGAUUCCUUGUUACGGCA